This 352-nucleotide unclassified non-coding RNA is filed under the name soil metagenome. RNAcentral describes it as "partial contains 5.8S ribosomal RNA, internal transcribed spacer 2, and large subunit ribosomal RNA". The stretch from base 1 to 120 matches the Rfam family "5.8S ribosomal RNA", at positions 35 to 154 of the family's 154-position model. The record is from RNAcentral.
GAUGAAGAACGUAGCGAAAUGCGAUAAGUAAUGUGAAUUGCAGAAUUCAGUGAAUCAUCGAAUCUUUGAACGCACAUUGCGCCCGCCAGUAUUCUGGCGGGCAUGCCUGUUCGAGCGUCAUUACAACCCUCAGGCCCCCGGGCCUGGCGUUGGGGAUCGGCGGAGCCCCCCGUGGGCACACGCCGUCCCCCAAAUACAGUGGCGGUCCCGCCGCAGCUUCCAUCGCGUAGUGGCUAACACCUCGCGACUGGAGAGCGGCGCGGCCAGGCCGUAAAACACCCAACUCUUCUGAAGUUGACCUCGAAUCAGGUAGGAAUACCCGCUGAACUUAAGCAUAUCAAUAAGCGGAGGA